UACGGAGGGGGCUAGCGUUGUUCGGAAUUACUGGGCGUAAAGGGCACGUAGGCGGCUCCGCAAGUCAGGCGUGAAAGCCCGGGGCUCAACCCCGGAACUGCGUUUGAGUCUGCGUCGCUUGAAUCCGGGAGAGGCGGGUGGAAUUCCGAGUGUAGAGGUGAAAUUCGUAGAUAUUCGGAAGAACACCAGUGGCGAAGGCGGCCCGCUGGACCGGUAUUGACGCUGAGGUGCGACAGCGUGGGGAGCAAACAGG
RNAcentral lists this ribosomal RNA (253 nucleotides) under uncultured bacterium. Its description in RNAcentral is "partial 16S ribosomal RNA". It matches the Rfam family "Bacterial small subunit ribosomal RNA", at positions 524 to 776 of the family's 1533-position model. The record is from RNAcentral.